UGAAACUCAUUUAGCCUAAGUUUGACUGAAAUUGAUACAGCAGUUUCAAAGGAGAAGAUUUUUUAAAGUAAGUCAACAUGAUGAACAAAUUGUGAUCUUUAACUUUUUAUUAACCAAAGGAUUUGUUGGGUGUAAGUAAACACACUUUAAACCAAAGGAUUUGUUGAGUAUAAGUUAACACACUUUAAAGUUUAAACCAAAGGAUAUGUUCAGUAUAAGUUAAAACACUUUAAACAAAUAUCAAUUUCAGAUCUCAUUAAAGCACAACUGUGAUAUGAAUACUAACCUUAAGUAUGCAUAGAAAAUAUUUAGCUAUGUUUAGAUGAUUUGUUAGUAAUACUUCCUAGUCAAGAAGGGAAGAAAUUGAAAACCAUUUUUUUCAUUACAUCAUAUUUAAUACCAUUAGAUCAUACUUUAUGCAUUUAUUAAUGUGGUUUUAUUUUU
RNAcentral lists this long non-coding RNA (444 nucleotides) under Mytilus galloprovincialis (Mediterranean mussel). Lineage: Eukaryota; Metazoa; Mollusca; Bivalvia; Mytilida; Mytilidae. The record is from RNAcentral.